RNAcentral lists this ribosomal RNA (1694 nucleotides) under human metagenome. Its description in RNAcentral is "bacterial LSU rRNA". It matches the Rfam family "Bacterial large subunit ribosomal RNA", at positions 832 to 2538 of the family's 2925-position model. The record is from RNAcentral.
AUCGAACCCGGAGAUAGCUGGUUCUCCUCGAAAUAGCUUUAGGGCUAGCCUCGAGAACUAGGAACAUGGGGGUAGAGCACUGAAUGAGCUAGGGGGCCUCAAAGCUUACCGAACUCUAUCAAACUCCGAAUACCAUGUGACCGAUACUCGGGAGUCAGACUACGUGAGAUAAGUCUCGUGGUCAAAAGGGAAACAGCCCAGACCAACGACUAAGGUCCCAAAGUGCAGGUUAAGUGGAAAAGGAUGUGCAAUUGCAUAGACAACCAGGAUGUUGGCUUAGAAGCAGCCACUCAUUCAAAGAGUGCGUAAUAGCUCACUGGUCGAGUGAUUGUGCGCCGAAAAUGUACCGGGGCUAAACCUGCCACCGAAGUCUUGGAAUUCAGUUUACUGGAUUGGUAGAGGAGCAUCGUGCAUGGGCUGAAGCAUGACCGGAAGGACAUGUGGACUGUGCACGAGAGAGAAUGCCGGCAUGAGUAGCGAGAGCAGAGUGAGAAUCUCUGCCGUCGAAAGCCUAAGGUUUCCUGAGGAAGGUUCGUCCCCUCAGGGUAAGUCAGGACCUAAGCCGAGGACGAAAGUCGUAGGCGAUGGACAACAGGUUGAUAUUCCUGUACCACCUUGACACGUUAUACGAUGCAGUGACACAGAAGGAUAGGCAAAGCGGGUUGAUGGUAGAACCCGUCCAAGCACUGAGGGUGCAGCGUAGUGAAGUACGCGCUGUGAUAAGCCUGGGGUGUGAUGGGGACAGAAAAUAAGUAUGGAAGUUGCUGAAUUCACGCUGGCGAGAAAAGCUGCUAAGGAGUGUUAUUGGUGCCUGUACCGCAAACCGACACAGGUAGGCGAGGAGAGAAUCCUAAGACGAGCGGGAGAACCCUUGUUAAGGAACUCGGCAAAAUGACCCCGUAACUUUGGGAGAAGGGGUGCCUCGAAAGAGGCCGCAGUGAAUAGGCCCAAGCGACUGUUUAGCAAAAACACAGGUCUGUGCCAAGUCGAGAGACGAUGUAUACAGGCUGACGCCUGCCCAGUGCCGGAAGGUCAAGGGGAAGUGUUAGGGCAACCGAAGCACGGAACUUAAGCCCCGGUGAACGGCGGCCGUAACUAUAACGGUCCUAAGGUAGCGAAAUUCCUUGUCGGGUAAGUUCCGACCCGCACGAAUGGCGUAACGAUUUGGGCACUGUCUCAACAAGGGACCCGGCGAAAUUGUAGUAUGCGUGAAGAUGCGCAUUGCCCGCGAUAGGACGGAAAGACCCCGUAGAGCUUUACUGUAGCUUGGUAUUGGAUUUUGGCAGCGCUUGUACAGGAUAGGUGGGAGGCUAGGAAACGAGGACGCCAGUUUUCGUGGAGCCACCGUUGGGAUACCACUCUUGUGUUGCUGGAGUUCUAACGUCGCGCGGUUAUCCCGGUGACGGACAGUGCCAGGUGGGCAGUUUGACUGGGGCGGUCGCCUCCUAAAAGGUAACGGAGGCGCCCAAAGGUUCCCUCAGAAUGGUCGGAAAUCAUUCGCAGAGUGCAAAAGCAGAAGGGAGCUUGACUGUGAGAGAGACAUCUCGAGCAGGUACGAAAGUAGGGUUUAGUGAUCCGGCGGCAUUAAGUGGGUUAGCCGUCGCUCAACGGAUAAAAGCUACCUCGGGGAUAACAGGCUUAUCUCCCCCAAGAGUCCACAUCGACGGGGAGGUUUGGCACCUCGAUGUCGGCUC